Molecule: non-coding RNA, 738 nt
Organism: Arachis ipaensis
Lineage: Eukaryota; Viridiplantae; Streptophyta; Magnoliopsida; Fabales; Fabaceae
Source: RefSeq, a predicted model, not a curated record
AAAAAUCUAAAUACCCAAUUCGUAACACCGUGAACAAGAACCAAAGGAAAUUGAAACCCUCCCCCCGUUCUUUCUUUUCCCAAUUCGUAACCCUAGCCUCUCAUUGCCGUCGCCGUCCCAAGCUCCUCAGCGUCGCCGCUGUCCUAAGCUCCUCAGCGCGAUUGCUUCUUCCUCUUCGCUGUUUUGCAAAACCCAAAAAUCUCAACACAUCGUCUUUAUCUUCGUUGGCUUCUCUGUUCGUCGAAGGUUAGUGUCGUCCGCUCUUGGGGUACUGCGCUCGUUAAGAUCUCUCCUUAUACCUUCUCCACCGUCGGCAUCGGCGUCUCCAUCGGUGUCUCAGUUCUCGAUGCUGCUUGGGGGAUUUACGUGCUGCAAUCAAGGCUCCCCGAAUCACUUCUACGAAUCUCAUUAGGAUAAUUUUUUCGUACUGGUAAAGACAACAAGAGUUGAGUAGUUGCUGCGGCACCGUUUAUAAUAACAUUUUUGUUCUAUUCUAACUUCUUUAUUUCUUUUGCUAGUUGGAGAACAUGAUGUGAAGAAAAUAUGUUUUAUACAAAUAUAAGAUGGGAUGGGUCUUAUAAUGAUUUUGGUUAUCUAAAUGUAUUAUUUUGAUGUGUUCUUUACAUUUCGAUAAGAGACUUUAUCCGAUAUUACAUGUAAUGGAUAAAUUACACCCUAUUUUGAUUAGUGUUGUAAUGGAUAUGAAGUUUUUAAUGAAACUUUUAUGAUUUACAUUUA